UACGUAGGGAGCAAGCGUUGUCCGGAUUUACUGGGUGUAAAGGGCGUGCAGCCGGGCCUGUAAGUCAGAUGUGAAAUCCGUGGGCUUAACCCACGAACUGCAUUUGAAACUGCGGGUCUUGAGUACUGGAGAGGCAGACGGAAUUCCUAGUGUAGCGGUGAAAUGCGUAGAUAUUAGGAGGAACACCAGUGGCGAAGGCGGUCUGCUGGACAGUAACUGACGUUGAGGCACGAAAGUGUGGGGAGCAAACAGG
Molecule: ribosomal RNA, 253 nt
Filed under: uncultured bacterium
Lineage: Bacteria
Description: partial 16S ribosomal RNA
Rfam family: Bacterial small subunit ribosomal RNA
Source: RNAcentral